GUGGGAUCGGCAGAGACACGCAGAGGUUGGAGAGAGAAAACCCGUUGGUCAAACACAAAAAAAAACUCAGAACCGGACACAGCCUCCAUAAACCGACAGUGAGAGACAAUGGAGUGGGAUUAGAGGUCUGGAGAGAGAGACAGAGAGAUGAGGAAAAACAAGCUGUUCUCUGUAGAGAGAUCUAGGGGCUACUGAGCUGGGCUUCACACAAGCAGUAUUUGGCAAAUAAUUGUUGACUGUUACUCUGAUUUGAAAUGCACACCAUAAAUAACCAUAAAACAAGUUCCAAGUAAGCCUCCAGCAUCCCCUCAGUAUGGAUGAUGACGCUGUCUUCGCCAAAGUUUCCAAGCUGUUUUGACUGCCACCAGAAAAGAUUCACUCUCAGAAAAGCCUGUACAUGGAAGCUGGCAACACAAAGAACAUCAAGCUCUCAGAAAUGCCAGCCAAGAGUGAAGGAGGGAGCUUUGGCAGACAAGCACAGCAGACAGAAAACACUUACCUAAUGCCUCAGUUUUAACAAUGUUUUAUUGGCUUGAGGUCAGCUGUUGGUCCCAAGAAAAAAUGUCCUUCAGUGCAACAGCAUCGCUAUGUCAGAGGAGCACGUCUUGGACUGAGUUAGCAUCUCUCCCUUUCUCUGCCUCUUUAUCUAUUGAUAUUUUAUUCUGUCUCCUAGCUCCUUAUUUGGCCUCUGGAUCAUUCUCUGCAUGCACUUGACUUUUCCAACACUUUCUGUCUUGUCAAGUUGUCAUAGCUAUGCAACAUAAAACAGAAUCAAUAAGCUGUUUU
Molecule: long non-coding RNA, 786 nt
Organism: Xiphias gladius (swordfish)
Lineage: Eukaryota; Metazoa; Chordata; Actinopteri; Istiophoriformes; Xiphiidae
Exons: 3
Source: RefSeq, a predicted model, not a curated record